This 478-nucleotide ribosomal RNA is filed under the name uncultured bacterium. Its description in RNAcentral is "partial 16S ribosomal RNA". It matches the Rfam family "Bacterial small subunit ribosomal RNA", at positions 28 to 523 of the family's 1533-position model. The record is from RNAcentral.
GACGAACGCUGGCGGCGUGCUUAACACAUGCAAGUCGAACGGUAAGGCCCUUCGGGGUACACGAGCGGCGAACGGGUGAGUAACACGUGGGUGAUCUGCCCUGCACUUCGGGAUAAGCCUGGGAAACUGGGUCUAAUACCGGGUAGGACCACUGCCUGCAUGGGUGGGGGUGGAAAGCUUUUGCGGUGGGGGAUGGGCCCGCGGCCGAUCAGCGUGUUGGUGGGGUGAUGGCCUACCAAGGCGACGACGGGUAGCCGGCCUGAGAGGGUGACCGGCCACACUGGGACUGAGAUACGGCCCAGACUCCUACGGGAGGCAGCAGUGGGGAAUAUUGCACAAUGGGCGCAAGCCUGAUGCAGCGACGCCGCGUGAGGGAUGACGGCCUUCGGGUUGUAAACCUCUUUCAGCACCGACGAAGCGCAAGUGACGGUAGGUGCAGAAGAAGGACCGGCCAACUACGUGCCAGCCGCCGCAGUAA